This 307-nucleotide unclassified non-coding RNA is filed under the name Hevea brasiliensis (rubber tree). The record is from RNAcentral. Lineage: Eukaryota; Viridiplantae; Streptophyta; Magnoliopsida; Malpighiales; Euphorbiaceae.
GGCCUUCGUCUUUGAUGGCGUAAACUUUGGUGCUUCUGACUUUGCAUAUUCUGCCUACUCAAUGGUAACAGUGGCUUUAUUCAGCAUUCUGUUCUUAUUCAUUCUUUCAUCAAGUUAUAAAUUCGUCGGAAUUUGGGUGGCUCUAACCAUCUAUAUGAGUCUCAGAGCUUUAGCAGGCUUCUGGAGGAUAGGAACUAGAACAGGGCCAUGGAAGUUUCUCAAGAGCUAGAUUAGUCUCUGUUAGAAUAUUAUAAUACGUGGAUACUCAUAUAGUAUAAAACUAUUUUUACUUGUUUUAGCGUCUAAA